This 5146-nucleotide long non-coding RNA is filed under the name Populus tremula. Its description in RNAcentral is "long non-coding RNA (PTRE_LNC002150)". Lineage: Eukaryota; Viridiplantae; Streptophyta; Magnoliopsida; Malpighiales; Salicaceae. The record is from RNAcentral.
ACGGAAGCCAAAGUUUUGACAAUAAAAAACAUUGAGAGAUGUGUAAACCAUACGAAGCCAUAGCCUUUAGAUAAUGCAAGAUGUUUUUAACAAUCGCCAAUGAGAACUUAUUCAAGGCAUAAAAGGCCAAGUCUGGUAAAAAUAAGAUAUUGUAGAGUAUCAACAAUAUAUCAAUACUAUGUGGAAUUAUUAGAGCACGAAGCACUAGACACCAUGAUUAACUUUGAUGAGGAAGAUGAAAAAGGAUCCACUAGUUUACAAUAAGACAUAAUUGGUUGGUGGAGAAUAUUCAGAGCAUUCUUUUGUUGACUAAGCAAGUUACCCAUAGAAGUAGACUUCACCUUAAUGCCCUAUGAGAAUGGAUAACUUUCAAGCAGCUUUAUCUCAUUAUGGCCUUCAAGAAGUAUGUUAAAACAUGGCACUCUUGUCAUCUUAACCUUAUUAGACACUUACCUUGUAACCUUGGAGGCCAUGCAGGCUGGAUGCAUUGAGGUCUGCUGGAUACCAAUCACCCUUUUUUGUAUCUAUCAGAGGCCACAUGAGACCCCAUGAAAGAAUUCCUCCAAGCAAUACUGAUACGUUUAUGAUGUAUGGGCAAAUCAUUCCAACUCGAACAUAUGUUGCUGAGAAAUCAAAGAAGAAUCUGUACAUGUAGCAAGAACAAUAUUAUUAAGAGAAACCACAACUAAUUUGAAACAAAGCGCCCUAAUAAAUGUAUCUACAUUCAAAAAGACAUGAAUUUUUUUAAAAUAACGCAUUUACUGGUUUUCAUAUGCUUUAAGCCCAAGUGAGGGAAAGCUAGCAAAUCCACAACCAUCUCCUACAGUAUAGAACCAUUGAAAGACACCCCACAAGAAGCUGAAUGAGAAGAACUUGCCCAAGACCUUCACUUGUUUCCUGCAAUGGUAGAAAAAGAAAGUUGGAUACUUUCACAUGUCGGAUGAUCAUUUAACUAUAAGUGCAUUAGGUCUGACAAUGCCUUACUUUGCUAGCUUGGCUCCUGCAGGAGUGUGAAAGCUGUUGAUGAGAUGAGCAGUCGCGGUGCCAACAUGAUUGAAAGUAGCUUUAUCUCAUUAUGGCCUUGCCUUGUGAGAAGGUUUUCAAGACUCUAAAAAGAAAGCAAAAGUUUUUUCUGUAUCUAUUUUUUUUAUAAAUUUAUUACAAGCUAAAAUAAAAUGAAAUUUUUUAAUAUCUUUGCAUAGUAAAUAUUAUAAAGAGAAGAACCGAGAAAGACAGGGAACUGGCGGGAAAAAAAAACCAGGAGACAGGACGAGAGAAAAAAAAACUGGGAAAGGAAGAACUGAGAAAAAUCGAGGAGCAGAAAAUAGAAACCCAGAGAGCAGAGAGAAACCGAACAGAGCACAGAACAAAACAAAAAAAAAACCGAAAGAAAAGAGAAAUCAAAGAGCAACACAGAGAGGGGUUUAGUUUUUGCCAUUGUUUUCGUCCCUGCAGAAAAACCUAGAAUCAACAACCAAUUCACAGCGGGCCGGCCUCUCCAUCGUCUUCUUGGUUUCAAAAGUCGCUGAGAAAAACGAAGAGGCAACGUAGAAAAGUGAGCACAGAAGGAGACAAGCAGAAGGGAACAACAUAAGCAGAGGAAAGCCACCGUGACCAGAACCAGUGUUCCUGCUGCCUUCUGUGUUUCCAGAACCAGGUAAGUAAGCUUCUCUUUCCCCGCUUUUCAUUUUAAUUCACUUUCUUUGCUUGCUCAUGCACGCGUGAUUUAGUUCACGCGUGCUUCAUUAACUCAGCCGGGCCACUGGUUAUUGUUAACGUUUAAAAAUUCUAAUAAAUCAAAAAUUCAAUUCCUAAUAAAUUUAAUAUUAACGUUUAAAAAUGAAAAAAACAAAAAAUAAAUACAUGUUAUUGUUCCGAUGAACAAUAAUGCGAGGAGGGGAACAAUGAUUUUCCCUCCUCGGCUACUUCUUGUUAAUGAUUAGAACAGAUUAAUUUAAUUUACCCCUAAUUUGUUUCUCUUAUAUUUUAUUUAAGUUAGUUCUAUUUCUUUAUAGAAACAAAAAUCUUUUGUUAUUAGCAAUGAUAAUUAAUCUCGAAGAUAAAAUAAAUGAAAAUAUACUAGAUAGCACCCACUGUCAAAAUAUUUACAUACUGUUACAUUCUAAAUUAAUCAAGGAGGUUAUGAAGUAGUCAGGGUCAAGGAUAAGAAAGACGAACAUGGUAAUGGGUUCAUUUGGCGUUUGAUCUUGUUCGUAGCUUUCCAUUCUGGAGAGCUCACGGACUUGCACGUAGUGUUCCUCAUUAAAUUAGUUAUUGGGAGUGAGUUUGGUAUUACGAUGGAUUAUGUUUUAAAAAAAAAAGAAUUUAAAAAUAGAUUAAAAUUUUAUUUUAUUUUUAAGAUGAACACAUUAAAAUCAUUAGAAAACACUAAAAAAUAAUAUUAAUUUGUUGUUUUUUCAAGCCAAAUACAUCAAAACACACGCUGUCCAUAACAGGCACUUCAGUGAAGAAGUGAUGGUAUUUGUGUACUCACUGAAUAUUGAUUGAGAUUAUCAUGUAUCAGGAGCAGUGAAAAUACUUGAAGUGCAUGCAAAAUGUUGACAAACUCCUCCUUAAACAACUCGCUUCCCCUUACUAAGUGUUCUGUGGAAUCUGAAAACAAGCUGUUUCAUCGACAAGAACAAAUAUCAAACCCAAGCACAUGCAUUCUUGCGAAGCAUAUAUCAAAUCCUAACUGUUGAUGAGAUGCUAGAUCUGAAGAACACCAGAACAUUUUGCUGGAUGCCAGCAUGUGUGGCUUCAGUUCAAGCACAUUUAUUGACCUAUGUAAGCAUGUUUUUCGAUACAAGGGGAACGAGUUUCGCAUCCUCGCCAUGAGCACUAUCAUGGCUAAACCACAGUGUAAGUGCAAGUCUCUCCCCUUCAGUUAUCUGUGAAAGAAAAUUGAUAAAUUAUAGUAGAAAACAAUGAAAAAAAAAAAAAAAGUAGCUGAGACUUUACCUAGCAUAAAUUUGGUAGCAGAAGGGAACAUUACAGAAAAACAAAGAGUUCAUGAAUGGUAAAUACACAUUGGUCACAAAAUAAACUCUACAUGAAUCUACGUGCAGCGAGAUGCAGAGCUACUAGCAUAUGCUGUUGGGAAAUGAUUCACAGAUGGAAGAAAUAACAGGAAUAGCAACCUAGAGUGUUCAACAAUGACCACCCACCACAGCACUUGAAUUGUUUGAAUUCAUCCCCAGCUCAACAUCCAAGCAAACAUAAAAAAAUAUCAGAAGCAGAAGCAAAAAAAUAGAGCAGUGAAUGCAAGCACAGCCAGUAUGGACUCUGGACAGCACUGAUUCUGGCUUUACAGAUAUUUGCAAAGAGGUCUUGGGUGUGAUUUUGGAGGAUCAUAUAUGAACAAGGAAGAACAAAUCAACAAAUACAACCGCAAUCUGUUCAAAAUCGACAUGACUUUAACCUGUAACAUUUCCACACUCACUUUUGAUAUUAUGAUUAAAGUUUACAAAGGAAACUGUAAUUUUCCAUUUUCACAUUGUUUGAUUCAUCUGUUCCACUAUCUUCUUCAAACUUGACAAGGAAAAAAAACUACAAGCAUCUUUCCAAGGAUUGACUACCAAGCAUGUAUAAGCAAAUGAACAUUGCUUUUUCUUCUCCAGAAUGACUAUAGAGAAAAAGGCUAUUGGCUCCACAAAAUGGCAGGUUACUGUUCACAGUAUUGGAAGAGUCGAACUUGAUAUGUAAACUUCAUAACCUUAGUCUAGGAAGCAGUUCAGCUUACUUCACAGCUUCUAUUCAAGUUGAUCAGAUCUUGGAUUUAUGACCCUAAGAAUGCAUCAACCUUGCUAUUUGUUCCCCUUGACAAAAACUUCAUGCAAAUGGGUGGUUUUACACCUGCUAGAGCAAGUAUUGAACUAGGCAAAGUCCAUAUCCCAUCCCCACAAAUCAAACCAGAAGCCACUGCUGGCCCAAAAGAAUCUGCCUUCACCUUGUCAAUCUUUUCCCAAAUAAAUAGAAUCAAGCUUCCCAGACACAUGUCGAUGGCAAAGUAUGAGCCAAUAUAGAAAGGUAUAGCCAUUGCCAUUGGAUUGGGAAUGAACCUAGCCCAUUUCUUACCCAAUGCAUCCUUGAUCAAAUUUAUCAGAAUAGCAGCACCAAAGAAUCCAUAACAAAGAUAGAGGCAAUUCUUUGGUAGAGCCGAGAAGCCUUCUACCCCCAAUAUAGCCAUGUUUCGAUACACGGUAGCAUAAGGAGCAGGGUAUUGACUUCCAGUAGUCCCAAGAUCCUUGAAGGCCUUGAAAAAGAGCCAAAAGACACUAGGGGAAAUUACGCAACCCAUUGCAGUGCCAAUCAGUUGGCUCACAAACAUAGACCGUGGUGAGGACAAGGUUAGAUAACCAGUCUUGAAAUCUUGAGAGAGGUCAGAAGCCGUGGAGACUAUAUUCAUCAUGACUCCACAGGCAGCUAGACCUGCAAGAACUCCACCAUAUGAGGCACCAGCCCAUGCCCCAAUUACAAAAAUAGCAAGCUUCCCAUAGGUUGAUGCAAGGGACCAAUCAGUGAGGCCACAUCCAUAAGCAUUACAAAAUGCCAGGGCUGGGGCAAAGAUGUAGAUGACCAGUAUGUAAUACCAUUUGAGUUCAUGAAAAAUAUGUGGAAGUGUGGCGGUAGAGAUGGCAGCAAUCGCGACAUAGCCUGCAAUAGAAAACCAUGUUGGGAUUUGAUCUUUCAGAAAGAGUCGGGUUCGUUGUUGCUCAUCAUAGGAGAUCAUGGAGCUCUCGGGAGAGGAACGGUCAGCAAUAGGGAGAUUACUGGUUGCAUUUCUCACUCGAAGUUGAAAAAACAAGGCAGCAAGCGUUCGGCUUAGCACCUUGAAGAAGUUGUACAGACCAUCACCCAAGAUCAAGGCAAUGGCAAUAAAUACCUGGUCCAUCACAUAAAGUGUUGGUACAUACAAAGCCUUCAAGAAGUAUGUUAAAACAUGGCACAUUUGUCAUCUUAACCUUAUUAGACACUUACCUUGUAACCUUGGAGGCCAUGCAGGCUAGAUGCUUUGAGGUCUGCUGGAUACCAAUCACCCUUUUUUGUAUCUAUCAGAGGCCACAUGAGACCCCAUGAAAGAAUUCCUCCAAGCAAUACUGAUACGUUUAUGAUGUAUGGGCAAAUCAUUCCAACUCCAACAUAU